Molecule: long non-coding RNA, 1140 nt
Filed under: Bemisia tabaci
Lineage: Eukaryota; Metazoa; Arthropoda; Insecta; Hemiptera; Aleyrodidae
Description: lncRNA ENSASIAIIG000086
Source: RNAcentral
AUGGAGUCUAGCACUAUGAAUGUAGAAAAAGAAUCAAAACAGUACUCCGUCAGCGAAAAGUUAAGCUUAAGUCUCUUUAAAUUAUUAGACAUGAACUAUGAUGUGACUGAUGAUUCAAUUUUAUCGAAACUUGCUUCAUUUCUGGGGGAAUUUCCCUUUGAGUAUGCACCCAAUCUGUAUGAAACCAUUUACAAGGAUUGGUUAACUGCAUGUGUUAGUCAUUGGAAGAACGGAACCCUAAAACCUACAGUUGCAGUUUUUUCCAUUCAUGUUCUUAGAACUUUGUGUUCAAACCCAAUGCACUUUGAUCUCUUGAAUAAUGAAAAGCUUAUUUUAGAACAGUAUCAAGGGUUGAUUGAAAAAAAACUGAAAACAAAUCCUCUUUUUCCUAUUGCUUAUUCCAAAUUACUGACCGGCCUCAUAUCUCAUGAAAAAGGCUUAGACUACGUAGUUCAAAACGAAUUGUGGAAAAUGGUCUUGUCAAUGUACAUCACAGAUGAAAGUUUGUAUGUGAAGAAAGAAAGCAGAGAGUUUUUGGUUGCUAUUUGUGCCAAAUCCUGCAGAAGGAGUGAAGAUGAUUUUUUGAAGAUUGUAUCUCAGAUUUUUGAGUCUUACGAAAAGUAUCGCCAGAGUUGCUCUGUAUUUUCCCUUAAAAAUGAAUACAAAAAGUACAAUCAAAUCUUAAAUUUACUAAUUUCAGUGCUAGAGAGUUUUUUAAUGCAACAAGAGUUUGGAGUUGCAAAAAAGUAUUUCACUGUAAGAACUAGUUUUUAUGAAAAUUUGUGGUCUGAUUUUCAAACAACACAAAGUAAUGAAACUCUCAUAAAAAUUGGCAAACUAUUAGUUAUAAAUGAGGUUUUAAAUUUCAAACAAAAGGAAAGUACAGCACUUGAACAUGACCAUAGCAGCAAUUUUGAAGAAUUCCUUGCUAAAAUUUUGAUACGAUUUCUUGAGCGAGAUUCCUUGCGAGAAGUUACUCUGAUGUGUGAGUUGGCUGCAAAAUACUGUAAAGUAAACAUAAAAAUGGUGGAGUCUGGACUAUUAGAAAGUUUAUUAGCUAUUAGACUGACUCCUGUUCAUGUUCUAUUACAACAACACAGUUCUGAAAGUGAAAAGAUGGCAGAAGAUUAUAGUUUCUGA